AUUAAUCCUUGUUGAUAAACUCUAAUCUUCUCUAUGAGGCCUUUUUUCAAUUACCUUUCAAAUCCGAUUUCGUAUUUAUUUCUUUGGUUCUGUUUUUGGUUGAUUUAGUGGCCUAUGAUUUAAAUGAUUAUAGACAAGCA
Small nucleolar RNA from Arabidopsis thaliana (thale cress), 140 nucleotides. The record is from RefSeq. Lineage: Eukaryota; Viridiplantae; Streptophyta; Magnoliopsida; Brassicales; Brassicaceae.